Molecule: ribosomal RNA, 366 nt
Filed under: Triticum aestivum (bread wheat)
Lineage: Eukaryota; Viridiplantae; Streptophyta; Magnoliopsida; Poales; Poaceae
Description: partial small subunit ribosomal RNA
Source: RNAcentral
AUGACAACGCAACCUCCUAAAAUCCUGGUGUGGAACGUGAGAGGGCUCUACUCCCCGGCACGUAGGAAUACUAUCUUUCAAGCGGUAGAUGCGGCCAAAGUGGAUAUCAUGUGCCUUCAAGAAACAAAGAUGGAGGUGAUUUCGGAUGAUAUUGUACGACAAACCCUUGGCAAUAGAUUUGAGAAUUUCUAUUACGUUCCAGCGGUAGGCACUAGAGGUGGGAUUCUACUUGCAUGGGAUCACUUGGUGGUGUCGGUCACCAAUAGACACUUAACGGCGAAUACCCUUACGCACUCAUCAAGCAGGAAGGGCUGCCUAUGUGGUGGCUUACCGGAGUAUAUGGGCCACAAGGCGAUGCAGAAAUGA